UAAAGACAUGCUAAAGGAUACACAAGGUAUAGACAUGGAUUGUUUCAACAUGGCUGUACGGAUAAACGCUACAGACGAAUUCCAAUGGGCCAUGGACACUACGUUUCACCCAACAUCUACUUGACUGACAGCAGGAAAGGAAAGUAUUAUAUGCGCUCUUCUGCUCCAUCAAAAUUAAAUUACUACUUCUUUACUUAUUACAUGAAUUAUUGUCCUAAAGCUGAUAAGAGACUUUCAUCUUAAAGUCUUCCUUCAAGCUGGGAAGAGAUUUUCAUUUUACAUGACAAGCAACAUCUAUAUUUCCUCGCAUAUGAAUCUUGCAGGAAGAAUAGACAGAAACUUUUUAGUAGUCCCUAUGCCGAUAUGUGAACUCUCAAUCGGGCGUAAGCUGUGGCGCUUUUUUUUCUGUUAUACUGGUGGAGCUUAAAUCAUAUGCAGACCAGUGAUGGCCUCGAUGAUAAAAAAUAAAAAAAGAGUAUCACUAUCACCGUGAUAUGCAGCGAUGAAGACUGUAUGUUAGGCGUGGGCUUGGUGGGACUGGAAGAGUGUAGGGAAGAGAGCUGGGACAGUGUAGUACAAGCAGAGUACAAAAUGAUGUGCAUCUCGUUGAUUGACUGACAUAUAGAAGUUAGCGGCCAAGCUAAAGGCUUGAUGUUUUAAAUCUUUGACAGUGAGCUGACUAAUAAUCAUCACAAAGUGACUGAAAUAUA
Lolium perenne is the source of this 710-nucleotide long non-coding RNA. RefSeq lists it as uncharacterized. The record is from RefSeq and is a predicted model, not a curated record. Lineage: Eukaryota; Viridiplantae; Streptophyta; Magnoliopsida; Poales; Poaceae.